Molecule: ribosomal RNA, 218 nt
Filed under: uncultured bacterium
Lineage: Bacteria
Description: partial 16S ribosomal RNA
Rfam family: Bacterial small subunit ribosomal RNA
Source: RNAcentral
CGCACGGGCGCGUAACGCGUGGGAAUCUGCCCCUUGGUUCGGAAUAACAGUUAGAAAUGACUGCUAAUACCGGAUGAUGUCUUCGGACCAAAGAUUUAUCGCCAAGGGAUGAGCCCGCGUAGGAUUAGCUAGUUGGUGAGGUAAAAGCUCACCAAGGCGACGAUCCUUAGCUGGUCUGAGAGGAUGAUCAGCCACACUGGGACUGAGACACGGCCCAG